GGGGUUGUGGCUCAGCGGUAGAGCAUUCACCUAGCAUGUGUGGGGCGAUGGGUUCGAUCCUCAGCACCA
This 69-nucleotide transfer RNA is filed under the name Marmota monax (woodchuck). RNAcentral's name for it is "tRNA.Ala". Lineage: Eukaryota; Metazoa; Chordata; Mammalia; Rodentia; Sciuridae. The record is from RNAcentral.